UAUUAUUUAAUUUAAAAGUGAUUAGACUGGGGUAGUAGUAGUUAAGUUCUUAAAACUCAAAGAAUUUGGCGGUUUUUUAGUCCAUUUAGAGGAAUCUGUUCCUUGAUCGAUAAUACACGAUUAGUUAAACUUGUUUUAGUUGUCAGUUUAUAUACCGCCGUCGUAAGGAUAUCUCAUGAGGGUAUUAAUUUUCUUGAAUUGUUAUUUAUUUUAUGUCAGGUCAAGGUGUAGCUUAUAAAUAAGUGGAAAUGGAUUACAAUUAAUUUAUUAAAUACGGAUUUGAAUUUUAAGUUGUUCAAUAAAGGUGGAUUUGAUUGUAAAUGACUUUUAAAUAAUGUAAUUGAUUAUGGCUCUAGAAUGUGUACAUAUCGCCCGUCGCUCUCACUUAAAGGUGAG
This 396-nucleotide ribosomal RNA is filed under the name Diatrypa sp. FGu. Its description in RNAcentral is "partial 12S ribosomal RNA". It matches the Rfam family "Microsporidia small subunit ribosomal RNA", at positions 751 to 1219 of the family's 1311-position model. The record is from RNAcentral. Lineage: Eukaryota; Metazoa; Arthropoda; Insecta; Orthoptera; Gryllidae.